Molecule: long non-coding RNA, 735 nt
Filed under: Rattus norvegicus (Norway rat)
Lineage: Eukaryota; Metazoa; Chordata; Mammalia; Rodentia; Muridae
Description: long non-coding RNA NONRATT014417
Source: RNAcentral
AGAAAUUCAGGAAAAUGUUCUAUGUGAAGAAAGACAAGGAUGAAGACCAAGUUCACAUCAUGGAGCAUGACCAACUGUCCUUUUCCUCCAUCACUGAGCAGGCGGCCGGCCUGAAGGAGGAGCAGAAGCAAAACGAGCCUUUUGUGGCCUCCCAGUCACCACCCUAUGAGGAUGGCUCUGCAAACCAUUGAGCAUGGGUCACCAGACCCCGGACAUGAGGCAGAGCCUAGACUGUGUUCAUUUUUACGAGAAAGUCAAAGCUAAGAUGAUGUUAUUUUAAGAAAUAUCUACUGUUAACAAUAUUUUAAAAACACGGAACUUUGGAUCCUGGGGGAGUGGGUUUUAAUCUCUGGGCAAAUGAGGUGUGCACCCAUAACUCACAGGCAAUGUGAUCACCUGACAUCAUGCAGCUGUAACUCACAGGCGAUGUCAUCACCUGGCAUCCUGCACCUGUAACUCACAGGUGAUGUCAUCGCCUGGCACCCUGCACCUGUAACUCACAGGUGAUAUUAUCACCUGGCAUCCUGCACCUGUAACUCACAGGUGAUGUCAUCACCUGGCAUCCUGCACUUGUAACUCACAGGUGAUGUCAUCAUCUGGCAUCCUGCACCUGUAACUCACAGGUGAUGUCAUCACCUGGCAUUACACACUGGGGAUGAAUACUUGAAACAGUGUACUGCAGUGGAUGGAGGCAGGUUUUCUUUGUAACUGGGGACUCUGGGUUUGCAUUCCAAU